AAACCCUCUAAGGAAAUAUUGUCAACCCAUUUGAUAAGGAAUCAAGGGUCAACACGGUUCAAGUGACAUCCAGGUAAAUUGAUCAGCAACCUUAAUUAUACCUUCAAUCUGAAUGCUCCUUUACAAUAAAGCCUAACAUAUUAUGGGAAUUAAGAUAUGGACAUCGUUGGAAGACCAUAUUCUAGCUAUUACAGGUUCUAGCUGACCAAAAGUUAUAUUGCAAAUAUUCUGGAAGAUGGAAGCAAAGCACAACCAUUACCCUCUAAUGGUCAUCAUCAGUCAGGCUGUGGGAGACAGAUGCAGCUCUGCAGUGUUUCUGUAUUUCUGAUUGAAUCCCAACUGAUACAGUUAUUGGAACCAGAACUCAGUUGCUUCUGCAAUAAAAAGCCGCAGGAAAGAAG
Homo sapiens (human) is the source of this 401-nucleotide long non-coding RNA. RefSeq lists it as uncharacterized. The record is from RefSeq and is a predicted model, not a curated record. Lineage: Eukaryota; Metazoa; Chordata; Mammalia; Primates; Hominidae. The transcript has 4 exons.